Punica granatum (pomegranate) is the source of this 1621-nucleotide non-coding RNA. The record is from RefSeq and is a predicted model, not a curated record. NCBI's taxonomy places the organism in Eukaryota, Viridiplantae, Streptophyta, Magnoliopsida, Myrtales, Lythraceae.
AUAAUAAUAAUAAUAAUAAUAAUUUGUUUGACAGAGUGGAGCCGACCCCCCUGUCACUUGCACUGUUCUUCGUCCUUUUCUGAUUUAGGUUGCAGUUGGCUUUCAUUUUUCUUUUUUUCCUUUUUGCUUCAUUCCUCCUCUGCUUCCUAGUUGACCAGCCUUUUUCUUUUAUUUUCUUUCUUCUUUUUCUCAUGCAGGUCGCCUGGUCUUCUGCUUCAGAAAGCCCAUCCCCUAUGCCCGACUCCUUUGCACACGCCCUGCCAUUCAUCUGCUUCACGACUCCAUCAACAUCUCAAUCUCCUUUUCCACACGGCAUCUCCGCUGUUCUCUUCGAUCUUCUGCAGUUUACAGGAUGCCCAUGCCCCUGCAAUUCUGACUAUCAACCUUCUUUUCUUCAUUUUUUUUCCCUGCACGGAAACUCCCCAGGAACCACCCUCUACUUUGGUUUCUUCUUCAGGGCAUCAGCUCAGGUUCUUUCGAUUAGAGGUCACCAGCUCCCACCCCAGCUGAUCAGUCUCUCUCUCUCUCUCUCUCGGUCUCUUUCUCUUUGGCUCGGGCCAAAAAAAAAAAAUUCAGCUGCAGUAACGGGCCCCACGAGCUCGUUGAGUUCCCCUCAGCAUCCUCACCCUAGCCGGACUCCUUUCAGCGGAGGCUCUCUCCCCUUCAGCUCAUUUUCCCCGACCUUCCCACAGCACAUCCCCGGAGCCCUCAGUUCAUCGAUGGCGGCUCCAGUCCUUGCCCCCAGCUGACUCUCGAUCCCCUCAGCGCACUGGCCCUUUCCCUCAGCGCUCGACCCCUGUCCCCCGGCUCAGAGCCCUCAGCUGAAACCAUUCCCUCGGUUUCCAGCUUCACGCCAUCCCAUCAUCUCCAUUCUUCCUCAUUCUUAUCCACCGUUCCCUCCUGAUCAUGCCACCCCAUCACUUGCUCUUUCUUGUCUUCCUUGGCAGCUUCCAUUCUUUUUCUUUUACACACACCAGCAAACGUUUUGAUCGCUUCUCGUGCCUUCCUUGAGCUCCGUGAGCUACUUGAAGCUGCUGACAGUGCCCCGAAGUCCCUGAGCUGAGUCUCUCGUACAUUUCUCUAAUUUAUCUCCUUUGCUAGUCGUGUUUUGUCCGUUUAUUUUCGUUUUUGCUGCUUCUUUUCUUCACUUUUGUAGGUUCUUCCUGGAGCUGCCACGCCGCUGAACGUCCUCAUGUUCCCGAGCUGUGCUGAGUUGCCGAGGACGGCCGGUUAACAGUCCGCUCUAGCCUCCGUUCGUGGACAACCCGAAGCCUCACGUGUUUCCUCUCGAUAAUGGCUCGGGAAAGUCCCUCCCUCCCCCUCUCUCUCUCUCUAGGAAUCCGAGAAGACGACAAGAGCCUUUUCUCUCUCUCUCUCUCUGUUGCCGCAACCUACACUCCCUCCUCCCUCCUCCCUCCCUGCGAAGAUAGAAGGACCAGAAUCAGCGGAGCUGAACCAAAAAUGCCAGGACUCCGAGCACCGUCCGAUUACUCUCAGGAACCGCCUCGUCAUCCUUCUCUCGUUUUAAAAGUCUUUUCUUGGAUUGUGUGUAAUCAUAUUUUCCCUUUUUUGGCAUUAAUUGGAUGAUAAAUUAUAUGUUCAACGUAUUAGUUUUAAUUAA